CAGUGUAUUUUUCUGUCUCGGUUUUAGACUUUGUCGCUUUUGUAUCAUUCUCGCUUUUUAAAACCAACGUUGUGUUGUAAAAAAAUUGGGAUACCCCUGAAUUUCUCUUCUAGAUCCGCCACUGGGCGGUAUGCCCUCAUAGCGCCGGUAUAGCGCCGGCACACCGCCACAAGGGGCGCCAUCAAUCGAAUUUUUGGGGGUGGCGCGAUAAUUUUCGCGGCGCCAUGCAUUUGGCUCGAAGAAGAAGGCAGACAAGGAAGAUGGAAGAAUUAGGGUUUUGUUUUUUAUGGGUUUUGGGCUGGGCUCAAAAGGUUUUGGGUUUUAUUGAGCCAAGAAGCCCAGUUAUCAAUGUAAUGUUUUUAUAAAGUUAGAAAUUAAUUAAAAGGUUUUGUUUUUAA
Molecule: long non-coding RNA, 398 nt
Organism: Helianthus annuus (common sunflower)
Lineage: Eukaryota; Viridiplantae; Streptophyta; Magnoliopsida; Asterales; Asteraceae
Exons: 2
Source: RefSeq, a predicted model, not a curated record